UACAGAGGGUGCGAGCGUUAAUCGGAAUUACUGGGCGUAAAGGGUGCGUAGGCGGUUGUUUAAGUUAGAUGUGAAAUCCCCGGGCUUAACCUGGGAAUUGCAUUUGAUACUGGAUGACUAGAGUAGAGUAGAGGGAAGUGGAAUUUCCGGUGUAGCGGUGAAAUGCGUAGAUAUCGGAAAGAACAUCAGUGGCGAAGGCGGCUUCCUGGACUCAUACUGACGCUGAGGCACGAAAGCAUGGGGAGCAAACAGG
Molecule: ribosomal RNA, 253 nt
Filed under: uncultured bacterium
Lineage: Bacteria
Description: partial 16S ribosomal RNA
Rfam family: Bacterial small subunit ribosomal RNA
Source: RNAcentral